AGUUAUAAAAAAAGAAAAAUGAGAAAAGAAAAUAUCGAUAAAAUGGGAGAUUAUCUAAUUGUGAAGGAGAGGGGUGAUAAUAAACUUGCUAAAGCUAUUGUCACCGCAGCAGAGGUACAAACAAGAAGUUAUCAUGAUGAUAAAUAUUUUGUUGAUAAAUGUAUAGAGGUGUUUUAUGCAUUGUCUGAUUUAUGGACUGUGGACGAGGUAUUUAAAGCUUCAAGAGUGUUCCAAAGAAAAAAAAAAAGAAUCGUGAGGCUUGGCUUUCAUUGAAGGAUGAACAUAGGGCUUAUUGGAUAAAAAAGGCACGGGAAGAAGGAAUUUAGAGUUAAACCUUACGGAUGUUGCUUAGUUUCUUUACUAUA
RNAcentral lists this long non-coding RNA (365 nucleotides) under Ananas comosus (pineapple). Its description in RNAcentral is "long non-coding RNA (ACOM_LNC008726)". The record is from RNAcentral. Lineage: Eukaryota; Viridiplantae; Streptophyta; Magnoliopsida; Poales; Bromeliaceae.